RNAcentral lists this non-coding RNA (19 nucleotides) under Arabidopsis thaliana (thale cress). The record is from RNAcentral. Lineage: Eukaryota; Viridiplantae; Streptophyta; Magnoliopsida; Brassicales; Brassicaceae.
CGGGCUUUUGAUACGCUUG